This 673-nucleotide long non-coding RNA is filed under the name Cairina moschata (Muscovy duck). RNAcentral describes it as "domestica (muscovy Duck (domestic type)) lncRNA (ENSCMMG00000010632.1)". Lineage: Eukaryota; Metazoa; Chordata; Aves; Anseriformes; Anatidae. The record is from RNAcentral.
GGGGAAAAUGACCUCUCUGGUUCUCGAUCACUCGUGUGGAUGAAGCCUCCAGUGGGGAGAGGGAGACAGCAAGGUGGGUGCCCGGGCUAGGUGACGAAGGGCGAGGGGAGGGCGUAAAGUCGGGGGGGGAUGGGGGGGCCCUGGGGGGCUGCUGGGGAAGGGGGGGGAACCCACACCCCUCCUUGCCUUAGCCAAAGGGGCGUGCACCCCGCUCUCGCCCCUGCGUUUUCGCAGCACAACCGUGGGCCGCGCAUCCCCCCCUCCCCGCUGCCAUCCCGUUAUCCCCCCUUCUCAUCCCUUAUCCCCCCCCCCCCGCCCCGCACUCCCGGGGCUUCCCGGCCCGGCGGGGGGCUCGGGGGGCGGCUCCACGCCGCGGGCAGGGGUGGAGGGGUGGGGGGAGAGGCGCCGAGCGCCGCCCUCCGGGGACGCGCCGGGGCCGGGCCGGGGUCCGGCCGGAGCCUCCGCUGCCUUCAGCGCCGCGCCGCCCCCGGGGCUGCGGCUCUGCCCGCGCCGCCGCUCCCGCGCCAUGGGCAGCCGGGGAAGCGGAGUCGAGCGAGGAGUGGAGGCUGGCCGUGCCCGACGCUUUGCCAUGUAAACCUCCCCGGCCUCGCACACUGCAGCACAGACAGAUGUUGGCACAGCCCCGGACCUGCAGAACGGUGCAUGGGAGAAU